Molecule: ribosomal RNA, 468 nt
Filed under: uncultured bacterium
Lineage: Bacteria
Description: partial 16S ribosomal RNA
Rfam family: Bacterial small subunit ribosomal RNA
Source: RNAcentral
GACGAACGCUGGCGGCGUGCUUAACACAUGCAAGUCGAACGGAAAGGCCCUGCUUUUCUGGGGUGCUCGAGUGGCGAACGGGUGAGUAACACGUGAGUAACCUGCCCUUGACUUUGGGAUAACUUCGGGAAACUGGGUCUAAUACCGGAUAGGAGCUCCUUCUGCAUGGUGUGGGUGGGAAAUUUUCGGCGGUUGGGGAUGGACUCGCGGCUUAUCAGCUUGUUGGUGGGGUGGUGGCUUACCAAGGCUUUGACGGGUAGCCGGCCUGAGAGGGUGAACGGCCACAUUGGGACUGAGAUACGGCCCAGACUCCUACGGGAGGCAGCAGUGGGGAAUAUUGCACAAUGGGCGGAAGCCUGAUGCAGCAACGCCGCGUGCGGGAUGACGGCCUUCGGGUUGUAAACCGCUUUCGCCUGGGACGAAGCGUGAGUGACGGUAAUGGGUAAAGAAGCACCGGCUAACUACGUG